This is a small nuclear RNA of Cercocebus atys (sooty mangabey), 126 nucleotides long. NCBI's taxonomy places the organism in Eukaryota, Metazoa, Chordata, Mammalia, Primates, Cercopithecidae. The record is from Ensembl.
GUACUGUACGAAAGGAGAGAAGGUUAACACUUCUCUUGACAAGGAUGGAAGAGACCCUCGGGCCUGACAACAAGCUUACAGUUAAGGCAUUGCCACCCACUUCAUGGCAUCCAACUAUCAUUUUUA